RNAcentral lists this ribosomal RNA (589 nucleotides) under uncultured bacterium. RNAcentral describes it as "partial 16S ribosomal RNA". It matches the Rfam family "Bacterial small subunit ribosomal RNA", at positions 355 to 1376 of the family's 1533-position model. The record is from RNAcentral.
UGGGGAAUAUUGGACAAUGGGCGCAAGCCUGAUCCAGCAAUGCCGCGUGUGUGAAGAAGGCCUUCGGGUUGUAAAGCACUUUUAUCAGGAGCGAAACGCUGUCGGCUAAUACCCGGCGGAACUGACGGUACCUGAGGAAUAAGCACCGGCUAACUUCGUGCCAGCAGCCGCGGUAAUACGAAGGGUGCAAGCGUUAAUCGGAAUUACUGGGCGUAAAGCGUGCGUAGGCGGUUUCUUAAGUCUGCUGUGAAAUCCCCGGGCUCAACCUGGGAAUGGCAGUGGAUACUGGGAGGCUAGAGUGUGUCAGAGGGUGGUGGAAUUCCCGGUGUAGCGGUGAAAUGCGUAGAGAUCGGGAGGAACAUCAGUGGCGAAGGCGGCCACCUGGGACAACACUGACGCUGAGGCACGAAAGCGUGGGGAGCAAACAGGAUUAGAUACCCUGGUAGUCCACGCCCUAAACGAUGCGAACUGGAUGUUGGUCUCAACUCGGAGAUCAGUGUCGAAGCUAACGCGUUAAGUUCGCCGCCUGGGGGAGUACGGUCGCAAGACUGAAACUCAAAGGAAUUGACGGGGUCAUAGCUGUUUCCUG